UACGUAGGUCCCGAGCGUUGUCCGGAUUUAUUGGGCGUAAAGCGAGCGCAGGUGGUUUAUUAAGUCUGGUGUAAAAGGCAGUGGCUCAACCAUUGUAUGCAUUGGAAACUGGUAGACUUGAGUGCAGGAGAGGAGAGUGGAAUUCCAUGUGUAGCGGUGAAAUGCGUAGAUAUAUGGAGGAACACCGGUGGCGAAAGCGGCUCGCUGGCCUGUAACUGACACUGAGGCUCGAAAGCGUGGGGAGCAAACAGG
RNAcentral lists this ribosomal RNA (252 nucleotides) under uncultured bacterium. RNAcentral describes it as "partial 16S ribosomal RNA". It matches the Rfam family "Bacterial small subunit ribosomal RNA", at positions 524 to 776 of the family's 1533-position model. The record is from RNAcentral.